GUGGGGAAUAUUGGGCAAUGGGCGGAAGCCUGACCCAGCGACGCCGCGUGGGGGAAGAAGUCUUUCGGGAUGUAAACCCUUGUUGUACGGGACGAAGGAAGUGACGGUACCGUACGAGGAAGCCCCGGCAAACUACGUGCCAGCAGCCGCGGUAAUACGUAGGGGGCGAGCGUUGUCCGGAAUCACUGGGCGUAAAGCGCACGUAGGCGGGCUGUCAAGUCGGCCGUGAAAGGCACGGGCUCAACCUGUGCAUGUCGGUCGAUACUGGCGGUCUGGAGUAUGGGAGAGGGAACUGGAAUUCCCGGUGUAGCGGUGAAAAUGCGUAGAUAUCGGGAGGAACACCAGUGGCGAAGGCGGGUUCCUGGCCCAUGACUGACGCUGAGGUGCGAAAGCCGGGGGAGCGAACGGGAUUAGAUACCCCGGUAGUCC
Molecule: ribosomal RNA, 429 nt
Filed under: uncultured bacterium
Lineage: Bacteria
Description: partial 16S ribosomal RNA
Rfam family: Bacterial small subunit ribosomal RNA
Source: RNAcentral